GAAAACAUAGAUCCAAGGUUUAUAGGGUUGCAUGUACACCAUAGGAGUGUUAGAAUGCUCAAAACCCAACAGUGGUAUCAGAGCCUAGGCUUGUUUUCUUGUUAUACUUGCAAAACUGCUUAAAAAAUCGAAUUUGUUGCUGUCUGAUCAUCAGACUCGGCGAGUCCAUGACUAAAAUGUGAUCAAUUCGAUCCAAGUCGCCGAGUUGGUUCAUGCACUCGACGAGUUGGACCCCCAGACAGCAUAUAUUCGACUUUUUUGGCUAGAAUUGGACUAGGAACAUUACCCUAAGAUGUUUUUGAACUUAUAAACUUGUUUUUGAUGUGGUAAUGUUCAUGCUAAUCCAAUUUCAAAGAUAAUUGUCAAUAGAUUCAUGUUUUGUAUUAGUUUAAGGUUUAGACUAAUUACAUGAAAAAGUUUGAUUUGAAUUAUCUUGUUCUUAUGAGUUGCUUAGAUUAAUAGAAAAGUUGAGUGAAAUAGUUGUUUUCAAUCCAAAUUAAUCUAAGAGUUGAUUCUAAAAUGUGUUUUUGUAACUUGUCCUCAAGUUAUAUGAAAAGUCACAUUUAAGUUUCAUAAAACUCAUAAAAGUUGGCAAAGGUUACAAAAUGAAGAGUCUAGUUCUAAUUAAAUGGUUUUAUGACUCCAUAACUUGUCCUCAAGUUAUGGAGGACCAAGAGUCUCUUCAUUAAAUAAUAAAUAAAAAAAAAAGUGUAACCUUAAUUAAUUCCAUAAGUUAUAAAAUAAAGAAAAGUUAAUUCUUUUAUUAGUUUAAAGUCUUCCAUAACUUGUCCUCAAGUUAUGGAACUUGAAGAGUUUUUGGAUUAAAACUACUUUAAACACAUAAGUUAUGGAAUUAAUUAGUUUUGAAUAGUUUCAAAACUUGCCCUCAAGUUUUGGAAUUUGAAAAGUUUUCUCUUAUGAAUACUUUAAUUCCAUGUUUAGCCCUUAUAAUUUUAAAAUUUAAAAUUCAACCCUUAUGCUUUAUAAUAUUAUAAGUUAAUAAUAUUUAUAUAUCUGUAUAAGAGUAAAGUCAGACUUACCGUUAGUUGGCCUCAUUCACGAAGCCGGUCUAUAAGGGGGAAGGUUGUUGCCUAUAAAAUGGCAACUUAAUGGGUGUCCACUCUCACCCACCGCUUGCUUGACUGGUGGAGGGUCGUUAGCCGAACGGGUUUGACAGGACUAGAAUUCUCCCUUCAUUAAAAGUAUUAAUGAUAAUACUAAGUAACUAAACUCUUAAUAAUACCCAAUCUUAGUUACUUAGGAAAAAUGUGAAUAAGGUGCUAAUCCAUGAAAUUACACUUUACACUUUGUCUAAGUCGUUAGUGGAGCGUGUGUGGUUAACCGGCACACUAACUCGUAUUUAACAAGGUAGGCAAAGGGUAACUUAAUGUUUAUCAUAGUAUCGAUGGAGCGUGUGUGGUUAACCAGCACAUCGAUUGAGGGGUAAACACUUAAGGGUACCAAGUAAUUUGCAUGGUUACUUCACACCUUGUUUUGUGAUCCUCGGCAUCCCAGUCACAAAACCUGAAGGGCACACUCGAGAUUGAAACAUGCCAUUGAAAGUUCAAUGAAUCUCAAAGAUCUAGGAGUUUCAAAUCCAAUUAAAACCUAAUAAAUUAUUUCGUUUUUCAUGGUGGAAAUUGGUGAAUCGUCAUUCACCUACCUUCAAAUAUUCUAUAGCUUGGAUUACGGCAUCCCUCUUCCAACUUAUAAAAUAGUUUGUUGGGUCCUAGCCUUAAUAUUUCAUAUUGAGUGUUAUAUUAAGGACUUUAAAUCAACUAUCUUGAAUAUCUCCCAAAAGAUGUCUAGUUCAGACAUCUAUGAUAUUCCCAAAUAUCGUGGAACUUCACUUCUUCCAGCUCCUCCAAUUAUUCUCCCUAACCCACAAGUUCAAGGUCACUCAAACCCUAUUGGAAAGUCAAGGUCUAGGUGUGAUCACAUCUUGGAGAUGAAGUCACAUACUGACAAGCCGGGAGAGUUGGGUGUCAAAGUCUUGAGAAAGUUAGUGGUUCAAUCACUUUCUAAGUCACGUAGUGAGUUCCUUUAGGACUCCUAUGAAAUAGACUAUGACAAGACCCUUAAUGAUCUUAUCUAUUUGCUUGGUGCUGCUAAAUAAAAAAUGCUUUAGUGUACUAGUAAAGCAAAUUUGAUUAGGUGAUCAACUUCCCAAAACUUUAUGGACAGGGAUAAUAGUGACACAGGAAAUCCAGAAAUGCAUUCUCUUCCCAAUGGAAAGGGAUUGGCCAUAGUCAACUUGGUUGACCAAAUGGUAAAGAGAAAGGCUAAGUCUGAGAUAGUCCCAUGUACUAUUACCUAAGGGUCCAUAUGUUUCUAUUGCCAAAGGAAGGGGCUUUGGUUAUGAAGCUGCCAAACUUACCUAAGGAUGAUAAAGUCAAUAAGUUCGACUUCAUUUCAGGUAAAGUCCAUUGUCUAACUCUAUUAAGUUCCUACUUGGAGAUUCUUAUUACAUGAUGUGGAUGGAUCACAUGUUGAUGUUUUAAGAAUCAAAGAAAGCAAAAGAAUCUUAAAGGAAGUAUAUGCUGAUUCUGUUCGCAAAGAUGGAUUUCAAUCGUAUGGUUCGGUGAUUGGAAUUUUGAGCACGUGCUUAAGAGUUAUGAUAGAUUGCUUAGGAAUAGAUGACAAGAAGUUUUCAUAUACAUCUGCAUUGUAAGGAUUAGUUUUUCCGCAAAGUUUUAAAAUAAAAGAAAAGUUUUUAAUUUUAUUUAUUUUAAAAUAUCCUUACAAUGGCAUUUGGGAAAAAAAUGUUGUUUAUAUGAUUCCAUUGAUAGCAAUAUUGGAAAUNUAUGAAAUUGAUUCUUUCAUUUGUGGUAAUGUCUAGAUUUACCAAAUAAGGAAAGAUUCUCAUCACCCAAGUUUUAGUUGGUUAGAAACUUGGAAUCAUGCAAGUUGUAUAGUAUGAUGAAUGACAACUUUCAAGUAUUGGAAAAUUAAGACUAAUUACUUGUUCACAUGGAUGUGUGAGUCAAGUGAAGGACUAAGGGAUCGAGUACACAUUCUUGUGCACUGAUUAAGUCCACCACAAAAGAUUGAUAAGACUAUUCGUCAUAGUUUACUAAAGCUCAGUAAAUAUGAUUAUACUUACAAGCUUAAGUGUAACUCUGAGACAUUGGAAAAGGUUCCAAUGUAUGGCAGGGCGAAUAAGAAGAAUCAAAUUAGGCAGAAGGAUAAAAGUUUCUCAAAUCUGAAAAGAUGGGAGAGUACUUUAGUAUCAGUUUUGUGAUCAUCUUAAUGAUUAAGAAACCAUAUCAAAAUUAGUUCUCUAAGGAAAUCUUAGUGCAUUCUUAUGACUAAGAAGAGGAACUUGAAUUGUUGAAAUGGUUAAAUCAAGAAGAUGAGUCAUACUUCGUUCCAAUACAAGUCUUAGAGUCAUACUCCAAGAUUGUCAUUUGAGUGACAUGUCUUAAAGAAGGUUUAAAACACUUGUCAAAUGUAAGAGUAAAAGUUUUCUACUCUUGUACAUUUGAAAUUGGUAAGUUGUGAUGUUUUGGAUAAAACAAAGACCAACUUAGGCCAAUUGGGUAAAGUGUUUUUCUUGAUUAGAAUCCGCACUAUCUCUUGGAUGUUUGACAAGGGAGUCUUAUAUGUCAAGAGGACAGUGGGAGUCUUAAAGGUCUUGAAAGUCUCAAGAACUAAUCAAGAAUAAAACCUGAAGUUCUUCACUAGCACACGACUUGAGGUUCAUAACCUAUCGUGUUGACAUAUUCUGUGCCCAUUCCAGUUAAAGUUGGCUUUGCAUAUGAGUUCUUAGAGUUCUCAAUUUGUUGCACAACAACUUGGAAGCAAUGGCAGGCCCUUGAGCUGCCAGGUGGCAAGAAAUUAAGAUUGAGUUCAGUCCAUAUGAGUUUGGAUUUGUCAUUAUCCUUGUCUUGUGACUAUGGUUUUGACAAUUCACAUGGAUAAGAACACAUACACCAUUAAAUCUAAGUGUCAUAAGGUUUCUCUCCGAUUCAUGAAAAUGAUGGUGAGGAAACACUUUCACUAAGUAGAUUUUAGCUAGAUAGCAAUUGUGAUAUUUGCAUUCUCAAAGUCGUUAGUGGAGCGCGUGUGGUUAACCGGCACACUAACCUGGACUUGUGAGAAGUGGCAAAAAGGUCUAACCAUUAUGAUUACGGCAUACCUCUUCAUAAUUGUUUAGACACACAAGUGUGCUAUCUAAGGGAAGGUGUAUGAUUUUGAUAAAGUUUUAUCAAAACAAUCUAGCAUCAGAAAUCUGAACUUUGGUAAGAAAGUCAAUGAAGUAUUGAUUUCUAGAAGUCCAGCUGAUUUCUGAGUACAUGUCAAAGCUAGUGGGAGCAUAAGUGUUAUGCUAAUAAUCAUCAUGUUAGUGGGAGCAUGAUAAUUAUGAUAAGUAUUGCAAGUUAGCAAUGUUAAUUAUAGAAAACAAAAGUUUCAAUUGGGAAAAAGUUGUUUUGCUAUAAUUAAGGGAGAGGAAAUUAUGCUUCAUCUCAAAUCUAUAAGCUUAGAUCGUGAGGUUUUAAUCAUUUAGUCAAGGAUAUAUAUGAAUUUCAUGUUGGAAUGGCUCAACAUAAGGAAAUUCUAUAUAUGGGUCCAUUAUUUGCGUUCUAAAAUUCGAUUAUGAUUACGGCAUCCCUUUUCAUAAUCUGAAUUAUGAGAACUUGGCAAAUAGAAAUGGAAAUAUUAUAGCAAAAGACUGGUUUAGUCUUUAUGUGAGACAUCAUGAAUCGUGUCCCAUAUGCUUCGGAUAUAGGAUCGAUUACAUGUGCUAUAUUCAUCCUUUCUAAAAUUUUCCAAAUGCCUGGGGCAUUAAGAAGGGAAAAGGUCUAGAAUUGGAUAUGACUAAAAUGAUUAAGCAAUUGUUGAGGACAAUCUAAGGUUUAACAAGGAUUGGUUUCUCAAGGACAGUUGGAAGUAUAGUGUUGACUUUGGAAGGACCAUAUUGACAUAGUCUGAAAAGAGGCAACUCUUGUUCAGAAGUGAUAGUCAAAAUGGAAUAUGGAAAUGGUUGAAAGUUAGAAAGUAUUCAAUCUGUAAGAUUAGGAAACUUAAUGCAAGAAGGAUGUUUCCAAGGAGUUGAUCUCCUUUGGAAUACUCUGUAAUGAUUGUUGCCAAGUCUUUGUGAAUUUGUGCAUAAUCAUUACAAGAGGAUCAAUGCAUAUAAGUUUAGAAUCUAACAGAUUUCAGUAAAUGGCAUGAAUUUGGAAUUCUUUUAUUUGCAGUAAGGAAUUGGGACCGUGAAAUGAGAAUCAUUGAAGUUAUGUUCAAUUGGUCUAUUUCACAUUGUAAAGAUCGUAGACAAACAUAGUGUGCACACUUAGUGUGUGGCAUGACUAGUGUUUAGAAAACAUAGUUUAAAUGCUUGGAGCAUGGUAUAACUAGUGUUUUAAUUCAAGUAUAAAGUUGAUAAAACCGAAACAAUGAAUAAUGAGUAAUCAGUAUGGUGAUAAAUAAAAGUGUUUAUUUAUAUUCAUAGGGUUUGAUACCAUAUUUGAUUCAUUUAUUCUUGUGUUUCACUUUGCAUGUUUUGACUUCCAGAAUAAACUAGGUUAUUCUUCUGGAAUGACUAAGUUAUUCAAACCAUCCACAGUCGGUCAUAUGUUGGAAGUAGAUAUGAAUUAAGACUGUCAUGGGUUGGCUUGUAGAGGUCUAAGAUGUUGGACAAAGGGCUACAACACUCAUGAGUGCUCAUAAGUUCUGAGUAUUGGAUUCAACCCGCGCUCAUUGGAAUCACUUCAUGGAUUUUAUCACGAGUGAUCAUGAGACGAUAAUAUCUUAUAUUCUUCAAACCUAGAGAUAUGAGUUGUUACUAUGAGUUGGUUGUACAUUGAUUGCACGAAAACGCAUUUGGUAACUCGGUGUUAUAAAACGUGCCUUUGUGUAUGAUUCAACAAGUAGUAGAACAAGCCAUAUGAGUCGAAGUUUAUCCAUUCCUUUUACCUUCGGGAUAAAAGCGAUAUCUGUGGGCCCCUUGAUGAUUUAAUGAUGACAAAUGUGAGUGCUUGGCCAAGCCAGGACUGAUUUGAUUUGUUCAAUCAGUCAGUCGUCAUGAAUCGGAAAUCGGGAAACAACAAAUGGACAGAGAGAAUGAUUAUAAUCCAUGUCUCAGUCCAUAUGAUAUCUAGAAUGGAGGAAUAUAUGAUCCCUUAUCUAAUGGACAAGUUUGUUGACAAAGAUCAGAGUUCGGUAGCGGCUUUAAGAGCUACGAUUUCCAGUUAGGUUUUGAAGUCACACUCAAUAGUAGUUUUAGACUUAUCCAAGUGGGAGACUGUUGGAUUAAUGUCUAAGUCCAUAACUAUAUUUGGUAUGUACUUGACCCGACCUGGCAUGGUCCAUUUGGGUUGCACUUCACCGACACAAUUUAUAUGGAUAGUCUUUUGAGAAUAGUAUAUUUAUGAUUUAUAUUAAUAUAUUAUAAGUUCUAAUAUAUUAAUAUGGAAUCAUAUUAUUUAAUUAGUUUUGAUCAAGACUUAAUUUAGAAUUAAUUAAGUGAUCAAAAUGAACUAAUUAAAUAUGGACUCUUAUAUAUAUGGAAUGGGCCAAGUUCAUUUACGUUGGGCUAAGCUUUCAUGGAUAGUCCAUGGAGUGUUUAACCCAUGGAUCAUAUGAAAUGAAAGGUCAUGGGUUUAACCCUAGUCUCCAUAUUAUAUAAAGUUGUCCUUGGUUGGUGAAAUAGACACUAGUGUGGAUACACUAAGAGGGCUAGCCGAUUUCUCUAGAGAGAACCAAGUACCCAUAUUCUCUAAAGUCUUCCAAGGUGUUUUGGUGAUUUGUGAUUCCAUUUGAGGCUUCCACACUAUUGAGGCUAAGCUCUUAAAGCUUGAAGACAUCAAGCUACAUCAAAAGGUAUGUUAUCUAACUGGUACUUUGUAGUAUAAGAACUUCAUAAUAUGCUAGUUAGGAUUUAAGCAUUGGAAAGUUCUUAUUUGCAUGUAUAAUAGAGAAAACAUAGAUCCAAGGUUUAUAGGGUUGCAUGUACACCAUAGGAGUGUUAGCAUGCUCAAAACCCAUCACUUCCACCAACCAUGUAGGCACUCACGUGUGCUAAUCAUACAUAGUGCUAGAUUCUAUAGAGAGUCGAAUAUUUGAUUCUACUCUAAGCCCACAACAAGAUGAGGAAUAGGAAAUAAAGCUAAAUCAAACAUUCUC
Molecule: long non-coding RNA, 7125 nt
Filed under: Lactuca sativa (garden lettuce)
Lineage: Eukaryota; Viridiplantae; Streptophyta; Magnoliopsida; Asterales; Asteraceae
Description: long non-coding RNA (LSAT_LNC002842)
Source: RNAcentral